AAUAAUGUAAUUUGCAUCGACGUAAUUCAGCCGAUGUAAUAAAAAUCCGAUGUAACAGCGAAAAUCAGAUGCAUAUUAGCAUCUAUUUGAUGUUAUAUUACAUCACCCUAAAAUUACACGAAAACAAGAUCACCAUAUCCUAUUACAUGGUACUUGUGUAAUAUGCACAUCUAAAAUAUAGAAAUAUUACACAGAAACCGCUGCAACCAAACAAUUCCGACGAACGUUGUCAUAUUACACAGAUUCAAAUGCUAUUUUGUAUCAAUGACUGGUGCGAUAAUAAGUCUCGCAACACUGUCCAUGUUGUUUCUGUCGACGAAGUUGUUGUGAAGUCCGCCAUUUUAACUCUCGUACCUCCGGUGGUAUCCCGUCGCGAAAACAUUAAUAAAAAUGAUUUUUGAAUAGUUUAGUGAUCACGAUUUGUCUACAAGACGGCCGCUGCAGUGGCCACAAGUGAUAUUGCUUUUACUCCUCCGGAUCUGGCCAAGGAAAUGCAGAAGAAGCCAAUCUUUCCAUCGGGUGUUAACCCCAUACGUACGCGCCCCAACGUCUGCCGUCACCUUCCCGGGGAAUCAGGAAUCCAGUUUUAAAGAAAUUUGUGUGCCAUUCCGGGACUUCGAGACCAUCUUGCCGAGAGAUUCCGGUGGCCCAUGAGAACAUCUUGUCGUAUGAUUUCGACGAACAACAUCCGCUGCAACAAGAGCUGGUUAGCGCUCAGGAUGACAGGGCAUGGCAAAAGAGGAGCACCGAACCACCGAAGGCAUACGGGUGAUCGUGAUUCUACAUGGGAUUUCGCGAUACGCCAGCUAGUUCGGUGUAUUGGAUCAACAACGAAAACUUGAACGGGCUUUGCAGAGCAUUUGUGAAUAAUUCCAUUGCAGUUCGUCGGAUUUAUCACCUGAAGCAUCCCAACGAUGGUUAUGGUUCAUCAGUUAGAUAAAUGCUAAGGUGAAGAUGAAUCGACGCCAAACCUCGAUUCACAAAUCAGGAAAACCAAACUUCCUAC
Aedes aegypti (yellow fever mosquito) is the source of this 1006-nucleotide long non-coding RNA. RefSeq lists it as uncharacterized. The record is from RefSeq and is a predicted model, not a curated record. NCBI's taxonomy places the organism in Eukaryota, Metazoa, Arthropoda, Insecta, Diptera, Culicidae. The transcript has 2 exons.